GGGGAGAGGAUCCGGUGUUCCUCUGCCGGGACGGGGCUCAGCUCCGCCGCUGGCGCUCUCAGGCUGAACGCUGCAACCAGAACCAGAACCGCUGUAGAGGCCAACAACCUCACCAACUUCCACCGGAGACCCGCCCGCAUGUCCGCCGUUAACGGUCGCUGCUGCGUGAGCGCCGUGAUUUCCGCUGAAUCACGGAAGCGAAGGAACGCGGAAAGGAGGAGCGCAGGGUUGUAUGGCAAGCCGUCCAGGUUUCUGAAGUUUGAUGGUCUAAUCUUCAUCUCUGCAAACUCGAUGGAGUGCUCAUGGCCUUUCCAGUGGAACCAGUUAACUCCCUGAAGAACAGAAAAUUAGAAGAAAAGAGGAUGUCAAGGUUUCAGAAGAUGUUCUUGAGGACCCAGACAAGUGUCCCACUUUGAUGGCAUUCUCAGGGCAAAAUUCGGUCAACUCGCAGCUCGUACUGCCCCCCUGCUGUGAUCUUGUGCAGGUUGGACAGACCUAUGGGAAAGAGAAGGUUUCUUUUUGAAGAAAACAUAAAUUUGUAUAGAAAAUGUUUUCACCUUAAAUGUUUUUACAUGAAACCAAACAUUCAUUUGUUCAGACAUUUAUUGGCAUAGAUCACUUCAAUGCAGAGUUAUGCUGAUGAAAUUGAUUCUAAUUGAUUACAUUUAUCAUAAAUAAUGUCUUUAAAAA
Molecule: long non-coding RNA, 690 nt
Organism: Oryzias latipes (Japanese medaka)
Lineage: Eukaryota; Metazoa; Chordata; Actinopteri; Beloniformes; Adrianichthyidae
Source: RefSeq, a predicted model, not a curated record